UACGUAGGGUGCAAGCGUUAAUCGGAAUUACUGGGCGUAAAGCGUGCGCAGGCGGCUUUGCAAGACAGAUGUGAAAUCCCCGGGCUCAACCUGGGAACUGCAUUUGUGACUGCAAGGCUAGAGUACGGUAGAGGGGGAUGGAAUUCCGCGUGUAGCAGUGAAAUGCGUAGAGAUGCGGAGGAACACCGAUGGCGAAGGCAGCCCCCUGGGUCGACACUGACGCUCAGGCACGAAAGCGUGGGGAGCAAACAGG
This 253-nucleotide ribosomal RNA is filed under the name uncultured bacterium. RNAcentral's name for it is "partial 16S ribosomal RNA". It matches the Rfam family "Bacterial small subunit ribosomal RNA", at positions 524 to 776 of the family's 1533-position model. The record is from RNAcentral.